GCGUGCGUCNUGAAGUAAAACUGCGAGUCUUGUAGUAAUACAAGGCUUACGGCUCAGUAACGCGUAGUCAACCUACCCUAUGGACGGGGAUAACCUCGGGAAACUGAGAAUAAUACCCGAUAGAACAUUAUACCUGGAACGGUUUAUGUUUCAAAUAAUUUAUUGCCGUAGGAUGGGACUGCGGCCUAUCAUUUUGUUGGUGAGGUAAUGGCCCACCAAGACUAUUACAGGUACGGGCUCUGAGAGGAGUAGCCCGGAGAUGGGUACUGAGACACGGACCCAGGCCCUAUGGGGCGCAGCAGGCGAGAAAACUUUGCAAUGUGCGAAAGCACGACAAGGUUAAUCCGAGUGGUUUCUGCUAAAGGAACCUUUUGUCAGUCCUAGAAACACUGUUGAAUAAGGGGUGGGCAAGUUCUGGUGUCAGCCCGCCGCGGAAAACCAGCACCGUCAAGUGGUCAGGAUGAUUAUNGGCCUAAACAUCCGACCUGCUGUGUAGGUUUCGGUUAAAUGCAUACGCUAGACUAUGGGGCUGCGGGGAAUACUGGCAAGCUAGGAGNGGGGAAAGGAGACGGUCUCGUAAGAAGGGGAGAAACUCUUGAUCGNAGGGUGAACCCCUGGGGG
Molecule: ribosomal RNA, 621 nt
Filed under: uncultured archaeon
Lineage: Archaea
Description: bacterial SSU rRNA
Rfam family: Archaeal small subunit ribosomal RNA
Source: RNAcentral